CAUAUCAAUGCAAUGAUUCAUGUAUGAGGAUUGUUUAAUCUUUUCAAUUAAGUUUAAUACUUCAUUUUCUGACUUCUAGAAAGUGACUCAACCAAAACAGAGGAACAGACCACCUUACCCCCCACAAAUGACAACCAGGAAAAUCAAAGAGCCUCAGAUGACUCUGAAGGCAAAACUGUGGAACAGUAGCAGAUCAGAUUAGAACAACUACAAAAUUAUUUGAUAUUACAAUAAAUAUA
This is a long non-coding RNA of Hipposideros armiger (great roundleaf bat), 239 nucleotides long. RefSeq lists it as uncharacterized. The record is from RefSeq and is a predicted model, not a curated record. Lineage: Eukaryota; Metazoa; Chordata; Mammalia; Chiroptera; Hipposideridae. The transcript is spliced from 2 exons.